Molecule: ribosomal RNA, 252 nt
Filed under: uncultured bacterium
Lineage: Bacteria
Description: partial 16S ribosomal RNA
Rfam family: Bacterial small subunit ribosomal RNA
Source: RNAcentral
UACGUAGGGUGCGAGCGUUAAUCGGAAUUACUGGGCGUAAAGCGUGCGCAGGCGGUGAUGUAAGACAGAUGUGAAAUCCCCGGGCUCAACCUGGGAACUGCAUUUGUGACUGCAUCGCUGGAGUGCGGCAGAGGGGGAUGGAAUUCCGCGUGUAGCAGUGAAAUGCGUAGAUAUGCGGAGGACACCGAUGGCGAAGGCAAUCCCCUGGGCCUGCACUGACGCUCAUGCACGAAAGCGUGGGGAGCAAACAGG